UACGUAGGUCCCGAGCGUUGUCCGGAUUUAUUGGGCGUAAAGCGAGCGCAGGUGGUUUAUUAAGUCAGGUGUAAAAGGCAGUGGCUCAACCAUUGUAUGCAUUGGAAACUGGUAGGCUUGAGUGCAGGAGAGGAGAGUGGAAUUCCAUGUGUAGCGGUGAAAUGCGUAGAUAUAUGGAGGAACACCGGUGGCGAAAGCGGCUCUCUGGCCUGUAACUGACACUGAGGCUCGAAAGCGUGGGGAGCAAACAGG
RNAcentral lists this ribosomal RNA (252 nucleotides) under uncultured bacterium. RNAcentral's name for it is "partial 16S ribosomal RNA". It matches the Rfam family "Bacterial small subunit ribosomal RNA", at positions 524 to 776 of the family's 1533-position model. The record is from RNAcentral.